Molecule: non-coding RNA, 173 nt
Organism: Labrus bergylta (ballan wrasse)
Lineage: Eukaryota; Metazoa; Chordata; Actinopteri; Labriformes; Labridae
Source: RefSeq, a predicted model, not a curated record
AUGGACGUCCUGCUGAUGGAAGGAUGAAGAGACAGAGACCAGACUCCUCCUGGACCCAGCUGUGUGUCCAUGAAGAGUGACUGGUCUAAAGGUUUAUAUAUUGAAUUUAAAGAUGGACGUCCUGCUGAUGGAAGAGUUCAACAGGAGAGCUCAGAGGUUCACAGAGAUCAAUC